RNAcentral lists this ribosomal RNA (259 nucleotides) under uncultured bacterium. Its description in RNAcentral is "partial 16S ribosomal RNA". It matches the Rfam family "Bacterial small subunit ribosomal RNA", at positions 793 to 1055 of the family's 1533-position model. The record is from RNAcentral.
GUCCACGCAGUAAACGAUGAUUACUAGCUGUUUGCGAUACACAGUAAGCGGUACAGCGAAAGCGUUAAGUAAUCCACCUGGGGAGUACGCCGGCAACGGUGAAACUCAAAGGAAUUGACGGGGGCCCGCACAAGCGGAGGAACAUGUGGUUUAAUUCGAUGAUACGCGAGGAACCUUACCCGGGUUUGAACGUAGGGAGACAGGAGUGGAAACAUUCUUUUCAGCAAUGACUGCCUACGAGGUGCUGCAUGGUUGUCGU